CGCAGCUCUCCGUCUCUAGCUUCUUCCGUAGCUUAGGGUUUGCAUCUCCGUCCUACCUGUGAUCCGCUAAACUUUAUCAGAUUAUACCCAGAUUAGCGUCUUUCUUCCGUUCUGGUCUUCAGUUCUCUGCUUUGGCAGUUUGUAGGUUAAUCAUAGUGUGAGUCCAUCAAUGGUGGUAGUCCGGUGGUUGGUGGUGGGGCUUGUGGAACUGUGGUUACAGCCGAAGUGGUUCUCUAGUGUACAGAAUCUCGGCCAUCGGCUUCUCCAGCCCGCACUCCGCCAUUGGCAUCUCCGGAUUGCUCUCCGGCAUGCACUCCACCAUCGACUCAAAAGUCUCGUUUGAGAAUCAAUUCAUUCUUCCUACCAGGGAAGUUGAUGAGAGAAGUACUCACACAUGCUGACAUGCAUAACAAAACAACAAUUUAGAGUCAGAUGUAAGGCAUUACAUCAAGAUAAGUUUAAAACAGCAAUCAGAUUUCGGUUAUACUAUAUUACCUAUCAGUGUUGCACUUGCCUUCUGGGAGGUAUAUCGGACGACCAGCACCCGCUAGACCCCAAAACUUCAUUCAGACAAAUACAAUUUUCUGUAAAAAGUCAAUGGUAGAAAUUAUAAAUCUAGACUACUCUAAGCUCACCUCCCCCCUGUAAAUGGUUCAUCUUUGGAGUUAAUUCUCAAUUGUAGGCCUCAACACACACCUUAAUCUUCAACCAAAUGUCUUCUUCCUCUUAUUGGAUGCUUUACCAAUUCUUCUCCCCUGCAGCCUCGUGGUUGCAAUGGAUGCUGCUCAUUUUCACUCUUUCCUCCACAUAUAUAUAGGAUAGGAAAGUUCAUUUUAAAAUUAAUAUUAGUUUUGAAAAUUGCAACAGUCAUCCCCAAUUAAAUUCAUUUUGUAUUCACACAUGUAUUGAUGACUUGUAAUAAUAGUUUAAGUAUAUGAAGAGCCUUCAAUCAACCUUUUA
Ipomoea nil (Japanese morning glory) is the source of this 960-nucleotide long non-coding RNA. RefSeq lists it as uncharacterized. The transcript is spliced from 5 exons. The record is from RefSeq and is a predicted model, not a curated record. Lineage: Eukaryota; Viridiplantae; Streptophyta; Magnoliopsida; Solanales; Convolvulaceae.